Molecule: ribosomal RNA, 497 nt
Filed under: uncultured bacterium
Lineage: Bacteria
Description: partial 16S ribosomal RNA
Rfam family: Bacterial small subunit ribosomal RNA
Source: RNAcentral
GAUGAACGCUGGCGGCGUGCCUAAUACAUGCAAGUCGAGCGAACAGACGAGGAGCUUGCUCCUCUGCCGUUAGCGGCGGACGGGUGAGUAACACGUGGAUAACCUACCUAUAAGACUGGGAUAACUUCGGGAAACCGGAGCUAAUACCGGAUAAUAUAUUGAACCGCAUGGUUCAAUAGUGAAAGACGGUUUUGCUGUCACUUAUAGAUGGAUCCGCGCCGCAUUAGCUAGUUGGUAAGGUAACGGCUUACCAAGGCAACGAUGCGUAGCCGACCUGAGAGGGUGAUCGGCCACACUGGAACUGAGACACGGUCCAGACUCCUACGGGAGGCAGCAGUAGGGAAUCUUCCGCAAUGGCCGAAAGCCUGACGGAGCAACGCCGCGUGAGUGAUGAAGGUCUUCGGAUCGUAAAACUCUGUUAUUAGGGAAGAACAAAUGUGUAAGUAACUAUGCACGUCUUGACGGUACCUAAUCAGAAAGCCACGGCUAACUACGUG